ACCCGCACAAGCAGCGGAGCGUGUUGGUUUAAUUCGUUGCUACACGAGGAACCUUACCUGGUCUUGACAUCCCGAGAAUUUUCUGGAAACAGAGAAGUGCCUCGCAAGAGGAAUUCGGAGACAGGUGCUGCAUGGCUGUCGUCAGCUCGUGUCGUGAGAUGUUGGGUUAAGUCCCGCAACGAGCGCAACCCUUGUCUCUAGUUACCAUCAUUCAGUUGGGGACUCUAGAGAGACUGCCGGUGAUAAACCGGAGGAAGUGGGGAUGACGUCAAAUCAUCAUGCCCCUUAUGGCCUGGGCUACAAACGUAAUACAAUGGCGUAUACAAAGGGAUGCGAAAGGGCGACCUGGAGCAAAACUCACAAAGUACGUCUCAGUUCAGAUUGGAGUCUGCAACUCGACUCCAUGAAGGCGGAAUCGCUAGUAAUCGCGGAUCAGCAUGCCGCGGUGAAUACGUUCUCGGGGUUU
This 466-nucleotide ribosomal RNA is filed under the name uncultured Erysipelothrix sp. RNAcentral describes it as "bacterial SSU rRNA". It matches the Rfam family "Bacterial small subunit ribosomal RNA", at positions 920 to 1378 of the family's 1533-position model. Lineage: Bacteria; Bacillati; Bacillota; Erysipelotrichia; Erysipelotrichales; Erysipelotrichaceae. The record is from RNAcentral.